RNAcentral lists this ribosomal RNA (253 nucleotides) under uncultured bacterium. Its description in RNAcentral is "partial 16S ribosomal RNA". It matches the Rfam family "Bacterial small subunit ribosomal RNA", at positions 524 to 776 of the family's 1533-position model. The record is from RNAcentral.
GACGAACCGUGCAAACGUUGUUCGGAUUCACUGGGCUUAAAGGGCGCGUAGGCGGGUGGUCAAGUCAGGGGUGAAAUCCUCCAGCUCAACUGGAGAACAGCUUUUGAUACUGGCCAUCUUGAGGGAGGUAGGGGCAUGUGGAACUUCCGGUGGAGCGGUGAAAUGCGCAGAUAUCGGGAGGAACACCAAUGGCGAAGGCAGCUCGCUGGGACGUUACUGACGCUGAGACGCGAAAGCGUGGGGAGCAAACAGG